UGCAUUAUUAAUGUCAUUUAUAUACUUCUGGUGAAAGAUAUACGAUAUCAAAAAUAAAGCAAGACCGGACUGAAAAAAAAGGAGGAGGAGAAGGAGGGGAGGAGAGGGAAGGAAGAAUGGAAGGAGAGAGAUAAAGAAAGAAAGGAAGAAAGAAGAAAGAAAGAAAGAAUCUUUUAAAAAUUGAAAA
Molecule: long non-coding RNA, 187 nt
Filed under: Mustela putorius furo (domestic ferret)
Lineage: Eukaryota; Metazoa; Chordata; Mammalia; Carnivora; Mustelidae
Description: lncRNA (ENSMPUG00000031168.1)
Source: RNAcentral